Molecule: Y RNA, 98 nt
Filed under: Saimiri boliviensis boliviensis (Bolivian squirrel monkey)
Lineage: Eukaryota; Metazoa; Chordata; Mammalia; Primates; Cebidae
Description: Y RNA (ENSSBOG00000000125.1)
Rfam family: Y RNA
About the family: Y RNAs are components of the Ro ribonucleoprotein particle (Ro RNP), in association with Ro60 and La proteins.
Source: Rfam by way of RNAcentral
GGCUGUCCUGAGUGCAGUGCUGUUUACAGCUAAUCGAUUGCAACCAAUUAAGGAGUUCUUCCUUCUUCACUCCCACUGCUUCACUUGAUUAGCCUUAA